AACAUUUCUCUAAACAGACUGAUCAAUACAUAUGGAGGACUAAAUGGGAACAUUUGAAAUAAAAAUAUAAACCAUUAAAUUAAUGAAUACGUGUCAUUAUUAUUUAAAAUUGACAUCAAAUGAAGAAAAGUGCAAAUAAAUCCUUAAAUGCUAGAGGGCUGCAUAUAGUUCAGGAAGUUGCAGGGGCCGAUCCAGCAGAGUUCAUCUCCUCAGAGACUUGAGGCAGUCCAUUACAGAACCCCUCCAACAGGCUGUCACCACCAUCACACUCACUGGAGUAGAGCGAACAGUAAAAGUCCACAGCCCUCCGUCUGAUCUGCUCAGGUCCAAUCAGCUCCUUUUCCGAGUCAGGCAACAAGGAUUGCAUCACUCUUCUGUCCAUGCUUCUUCUCCAAACCAAAACAGAAGCUAGAGGGAGCAUCUAUCCUGAAACUGGAACCUAACCAGAGAGUCCAGCACACGCUACAAGGUCAACUUUUUUGAUCUGAGAAGUUCUAUGCUGUAUAUCUGAAAUCCGCGGAGGCGGAGCUCUGCUUACUCCGUUUCAGAGAGACCCCCGACUGCUCUGAUCCACGCGCCUCAACGUCAUGAACUCUCCCGUCCACACACCUAACAACGUGACCCACCACAGACACACCCCCAUCCGAACCACAACACUCGGAGGACUCUUCAGCUCACAAACUCUUCAACUGCUCCAACCACACUCCUUCCACACAGAAGAAGAAGAAAGUUGGUAAUGAACUCUCUGCCAGGGACACCUCAGUCUAGAGAUGACAUGUUUUUAGACAACGUAGAUCUGGUGCUGGAACUGGUGUUGAAGCCGGCGUUGGAGCUAGUUUGGUCCACAAACCUGUUUGGUUCUGACAGUCACUCCAUCAACCUGUUGUCUCCAGUCAAUGUUCAUGACAUGAAGACAUUUGUGUGUUUUGGCGUCUAUUGACAUUUCUGAGCUCCAACUUUUGCUUGUUUCAUUUGUUUGUUUUUUUGGUCAUUGCAUAUGCGUGUGUUGAAGUGUGUCUAUGUGUGGGUGAACUUUUCCAUUGAUUUGAAGUCUUGUGUGUUAAAAAAAUGUAUUCUUGGCUGUUAUGAGUUUAAGGCGUUCCCCACAGAGAUGGAACCACGUUUUUACUGAAACCCCGCCCACUUUUGGUCUGUAUUUAAGGACUGCCUCAACCAGCAGAAAAUCAUCUUCAUCUGCUUUGAGCUCAGUCUCGUCCGGCUCCAGACCGUCUUCAGAGGAAACAACUUCUCUCUCAAGUUUAAAAGACUUUUCCUCCUUCAGCAACAAGCUCAGUUUUAGCUUCCAGUCAUCAACA
Long non-coding RNA from Oryzias melastigma (Indian medaka), 1316 nucleotides. RefSeq lists it as uncharacterized. The transcript is spliced from 3 exons. The record is from RefSeq and is a predicted model, not a curated record. NCBI's taxonomy places the organism in Eukaryota, Metazoa, Chordata, Actinopteri, Beloniformes, Adrianichthyidae.